Molecule: ribosomal RNA, 910 nt
Filed under: Eleutherascus peruvianus
Lineage: Eukaryota; Fungi; Ascomycota; Pezizomycetes; Pezizales; Ascodesmidaceae
Description: LSU rRNA
Rfam family: Eukaryotic large subunit ribosomal RNA
Source: RNAcentral
GCAUAUCAUAAGCGGAGGAAAAGAAACCAACAGGGAUUGCCUUAGUAACUGCGAGUGAAGCGGCAAAAGCUCAAAUUUGAAAUCUGGCACUUCUGGUGUCCGAGUUGUAAUUUGGAGAGAUUUCUUCGGAGUGAACACUGGCCCAAGUUCCUUGGAACAGGACGUCACAGAGGGUGAGAAUCCCGUGUCUGGCUGGUUGUUUCAUUCCAUGUGAAGAGUCUUCGACGAGUCGAGUUGUUUGGGAAUGCAGCUCAAAAUGGGUGGUAAAUUUCAUCUAAAGCUAAAUAUUGGCGAGAGACCGAUAGCGCACAAGUAGAGUGAUCGAAAGAUGAAAAGCACUUUGAAAAGAGAGUUAAAAAGUACGUGAAAUUGUUGAAAGGGAAGCGCUUGAGACCAGACUCGAUUUAUGGUGAUCAGCAGUCCUUCUGGGCUGUGCACUUUGCCAUUCUUCGGGACAGCAUCGGUUCUGACUGUGUGAUAAAGGUAUUGGGAAUGUGGCUCCUUCCGGGGAGUGUUAUAGCCCAGUGCGUAAUGACACAAGUUGGGACCGAGGACUGCGCUUCGGCUAGGAUGCUGUCAUAAUGGUCUUCAGCGACCCGUCUUGAAACACGGACCAAGGAGUCUAACAUCUAUGCGAGUGUUCGGGUGGAAAACCCUUGCGCGUAAUGAAAGUGAACGGAGGUGGGAACCUUUCGGGGUGCACCAUCGACCGAUCCUGAUGUCUUCGGAUGGAUUUGAGUAAGAGCAUAGCUGUUGGGACCCGAAAGAUGGUGAACUAUGCCUGAAUAGGGUGAAGCCAGAGGAAACUCUGGUGGAGGCUCGCAGCGGUUCUGACGUGCAAAUCGAUCGUCAAAUUUGGGUAUAGGGGCGAAAGACUAAAUCGAACCAUCUAGUAGCUGGAUCCUGCGAG